Molecule: non-coding RNA, 96 nt
Organism: Mycena galericulata
Lineage: Eukaryota; Fungi; Basidiomycota; Agaricomycetes; Agaricales; Mycenaceae
Source: the annotation of a GenBank genome assembly
GACCUCGUAGUACAACGGUAGUAUGUCGCAGCCGGAUUAUCGAUUAGGUACGGAAAUUUAUCUGCGACGAUCUCAGUUGGAAUCUGAGCGGGGUUA